This 465-nucleotide ribosomal RNA is filed under the name uncultured bacterium. Its description in RNAcentral is "partial 16S ribosomal RNA". It matches the Rfam family "Bacterial small subunit ribosomal RNA", at positions 338 to 795 of the family's 1533-position model. The record is from RNAcentral.
CCUACGGGUGGCAGCAGUGGGGAAUAUUGCGCAAUGGGCGAAAGCCUGACGCAGCGACGCCGCGUGAGGGAUGAAGGUCUUCGGAUCGUAAACCUCUGUCAGCAGGGAAGAACGGUCACUGUGCUAAUGAGUAGUGAAUUGACGGUACCUGCAAAGGAAGCACAGGCUAACUCCGUGCCAGCAGCCGCGGUAAUGCGGGGGGUGGGAGCGUUAAUCGGAAUUAUUGGGCGUAAAGCGCUCGUAGGCGGUAUGUCAAGGCAAGGGUGAAAACCCCGAGCUCAACGUGGGUACUGCCGUUGAAACUGGCAAACUGGAGUGUGUGAGAGGAUAGUGGAAUGCCAGGUGUAGGGGUGAAAUCCGUAGAUAUCUGGAGGAACAUCAGUGGCGAAGGCGACUAUCUGGCACAUAACUGACGCUGAGGAGCGAAAGCGUGGGUAGCGAACAGGAUUAGAUACCCCAGUAGUC